GAUGAACGCUGGCGGCGUGCUUAACACAUGCCAGUCGAACGGUGAACCCGGAGCUUGCUCUGUGGGAUCAGUGGCGAACGGGUGAGUAACACGUGAGCAACCUGCCCCUGACUCUGGGAUAAGCGCUGGAAACGGCGUCUAAUACUGGAUAUGUGACGUGACCGCAUGGUCUGCGUUUGGAAAGAUUUUUCGGUUGGGGAUGGGCUCGCGGCCUAUCAGCUUGUUGGUGAGGUAAUGGCUCACCAAGGCGUCGACGGGUAGCCGGCCUGAGAGGGUGACCGGCCACACUGGGAUUGAGACACGGCCCAGACUCCUACGGGAGGCAGCAGUGGGGAAUAUUGCACAAUGGGCGAAAGCCUGAUGCAGCAACGCCGCGUGAGGGAUGACGGCCUUCGGGUUGUAAACCUUUUUUAGCAGGGAAGAAGCGAAAGUGACGGUACCUGAAGAAAAAGCGCCGGCUAACUACGUG
Molecule: ribosomal RNA, 469 nt
Filed under: uncultured bacterium
Lineage: Bacteria
Description: partial 16S ribosomal RNA
Rfam family: Bacterial small subunit ribosomal RNA
Source: RNAcentral